This 405-nucleotide ribosomal RNA is filed under the name Triticum aestivum (bread wheat). Its description in RNAcentral is "partial small subunit ribosomal RNA". Lineage: Eukaryota; Viridiplantae; Streptophyta; Magnoliopsida; Poales; Poaceae. The record is from RNAcentral.
AUGCUUGGUAGGGAGUUCGGCCUAAUAUAUGCAAGUUUGCUGGGGCUGAAUUUAAGAUGUACCGUGCUGACAAAUAUUCUUGUUGGUUUGUCGAGACCUGUGCGUGAGAACACGAGGAUAAAGUUCGAUCGCCAGUCCAAUGAGAGCUAUGAGGAGAAAAGAACCAGGAUUAAUGAACUAUACAGGGCAACAAACACCCAGUCUAAAAGAAGGGAGAAAUGGAGAAGGGUUGUUUUCCUGGUGAAGAUGAUUGACAAUGGAGCAGAGUUUGAAUACAAAUGUGUGUUGUUUGAACAUAUGAGCAUGUUAUGCUGUCAUGUUCUUAAGAUAUGCACAAGUAAAGAAAUUGUGAAGCCGGUCAUUAGCCCAAUCCUGGGAGCUAAGUUAUACUAUUUUUUUGCAUGA